Molecule: ribosomal RNA, 436 nt
Filed under: Procapra gutturosa
Lineage: Eukaryota; Metazoa; Chordata; Mammalia; Artiodactyla; Bovidae
Description: partial 12S ribosomal RNA
Rfam family: Bacterial small subunit ribosomal RNA
Source: RNAcentral
AAACUGGGAUUAGAUACCCCACUAUGCUUAGCCCUAAACACAAAUAAUUAUAUUAACAAAAUUAUUCGCCAGAGUACUACCGGCAACAGCCUAAAACCCAAAGGACUUGGCGGUGCUUUAUACCCUUCUAGAGGAGCCUGUUCUAUAAUCGAUAAACCCCGAUAAACCUCACCAGUCUUUGCUAAUACAGUCUAUAUACCGCCAUCUUCAGCAAACCCUAAAAAGGAAUAGAAGUAAGCACAAUCACAAUACGUAAAAACGUUAGGUCAAGGUGUAACCUAUGGAAUGGGAAGAAAUGGGCUACAUUUUCUAUCUUAAGAAAAUUAUACGAAAGUUAUUAUGAAACUAAUAACCAAAGGAGGAUUUAGUAGUAAACUAAGAAUAGAGUGCUUAGUUGAAUUAGGCCAUAAAGCACGCACACACGCCCGUCACCCUC